Molecule: unclassified non-coding RNA, 427 nt
Filed under: Mycosphaerellaceae sp. Iso251
Lineage: Eukaryota; Fungi; Ascomycota; Dothideomycetes; Mycosphaerellales; Mycosphaerellaceae
Description: sequence contains ITS1, 5.8S rRNA gene, ITS2
Rfam family: 5.8S ribosomal RNA (bases 127-280)
Source: RNAcentral
CAUUCGACUCCCACCCUUUGUGACACAUCCUGUUGCUUCGGGGGCGACCCUGCCGCUCGCGGCACUCCCCCCGGAGGUCAUCCAAACACUGCAUUCUUACGUCGGAGUAUAAAGUUAAUUUAAUAAAACUUUCAACAACGGAUCUCUUGGUUCUGGCAUCGAUGAAGAACGCAGCGAAAUGCGAUAAGUAAUGUGAAUUGCAGAAUUCAGUGAAUCAUCGAAUCUUUGAACGCACAUUGCGCCCCCUGGUAUUCCGGGGGGCAUGCCUGUUCGAGCGUCAUUUCACCACUCAAGCCUCGCUUGGUAUUGGGCGUCGCGGGUCCCCCGCGCGCCUCAAAGUCUCCGGCUGAGCGGUUCGUCUCCCAGCGUUGUGGCAACUAUUUCGCAGCGGAGUUCGAGUCGUCGCGGCCGUUAAAUCUUUCAAAGG